UCUGGAAACCAUAGAGCUGUGGCACCACCUGAUUCCAUUCCGAACUCAGAAGUGAAACACAGUAUCGCCGAUGGUAGUUUGGGGUCUCCCCAUGCGAGAGUAGGUCAUUUCCAGGC
This 116-nucleotide ribosomal RNA is filed under the name Shewanella sp. Arc9-LZ. The record is from RNAcentral. Lineage: Bacteria; Pseudomonadati; Pseudomonadota; Gammaproteobacteria; Alteromonadales; Shewanellaceae.